CGCGGCGCAUUAGCUAGUUGGUGAGGUAACGGCUCACCAAGGCGACGAUGCGUAGCCGACCUGAGAGGGUGAUCGGCCACACUGGGACUGAGACACGGCCCAGACUCCUACGGGAGGCAGCAGUAGGGAAUCUUCCGCAAUGGACGAAAGUCUGACGGAGCAACGCCGCGUGAGUGAUGAAGGUUUUCGGAUCGUAAAGCUCUGUUGUUAGGGAAGAACAAGUGCCGUUCGAAUAGGGCGGUACCUUGACGGUACCUAACCAGAAAGCCACGGCUAACUACGUGCCAGCAGCCGCGGUAAUACGUAGGUGGCAAGCGUUGUCCGGAAUUAUUGGGCGUAAAGGGCUCGCAGGCGGUUUCUUAAGUCUGAUGUGAAAGCCCCCGGCUCAACCGGGGAGGGUCAUUGGAAACUGGGGAACUUGAGUGCAGAAGAGGAGAGUGGAAUUCCACGUGUAGCGGUGAAAUGCGUAGAGAUGUGGAGGAACACCAGUGGCGAAGGCGACUCUCUGGUCUGUAACUGACGCUGAGGAGCGAAAGCGUGGGGAGCGAACAGGAUUAGAUACCCUGGUAGUCCACGCCGU
Molecule: ribosomal RNA, 580 nt
Filed under: Bacillus subtilis
Lineage: Bacteria; Bacillati; Bacillota; Bacilli; Caryophanales; Bacillaceae
Description: bacterial SSU rRNA
Rfam family: Bacterial small subunit ribosomal RNA
Source: RNAcentral